AGUUCUGGGCUGCAGUGCACUACGUCGAGCGGGUGUCUGUGCUGAGGGCGGCAUCAAUAUGGUGAGCCCCGAGGAGCUGGGGGACACCAGGUUGACUAAGGAGGGGUGAACUGGCCAGGGUUGGAGAUGGAGCAGGUCAAAGCUCCUGUGCUGGUCAGUAGUGGGAUCGCGCCUGUGAGCAGCCACUGCAAAACAG
This 196-nucleotide signal recognition particle RNA is filed under the name Phoenicopterus ruber ruber. RNAcentral's name for it is "Metazoan signal recognition particle RNA". It matches the Rfam family "Metazoan signal recognition particle RNA", at positions 73 to 269 of the family's 299-position model. From Rfam's summary of the family: The signal recognition particle (SRP) is a universally conserved ribonucleoprotein. It is involved in the co-translational targeting of proteins to membranes. The record is from Rfam by way of RNAcentral. Lineage: Eukaryota; Metazoa; Chordata; Aves; Phoenicopteriformes; Phoenicopteridae.